CAUUCUCCAAAUCCAUUGAGAGGAAGGGAGAAAGGGAGAGAGGGAGAGAGGUAUCUCUAAAGAAGUGAUGAAUUAAGAUAGGUGGUGGAUUUAUGUUUGCAGGAGAGAUGGCACUAAUUGUUCUACAUCUAUUAGCAAUUGUUGUCAUCUCUCUUGUGACCAAAAGCUCUACACGACUUCUACGACUUUGAUCUUUCUCUACAACAUUUGUGGUUUUUUUUUUCCCACGACAUGAUUUUUAUCUUAUGGUUGUAGAUUAAUUAUCUGAAUAAUAUAUUAUCAAUUACUUAAGCUUGACUUUAUCAAGAUAUGAUUGUUUUUGCUAGGCAUCUAUUGCAGACACCUUAUAUUGUUAAUUAAAAUAGGCAUAUCGUGAUUAUGAUAAUCUGAUGAUCUAACCACACUAAAACGUGGAUUAAAAAAAAUCGUUCUAUUUGGAACUGUAAAUAAAAUAAAUUCGUAUAAUUUGUUAACUAUGAUCAAUAUUAUACAGUAAGGAAGACUAAGAAUGUAACAGACUUAGAGAGAGAGAGAGAGAAAGAACUUAGAGAGAAGAUGAAUAUCUCUGAUAUAUUUCUUAACUUCCAAGUAAUACAGUGUUGAGGUAUUUAUAGUCUUACACUUACACAGCUAACUUCCUUAACUAACUUCUUCUCUAAUCUAAUUACAAGUGGCAACAUCUUAUACACCAAUAUCUCUAUUCUAUCAUCCCCCCGCAAACACAUGAUUCGAUGCUCGAAGCAUGAGGUUGGUACAGUGAGUACGAAACAGAGGAGAACUCAACCCUUUAGUCAAAAUAUCAGCAAAUUGCUCUUUAGAGGACACAAACUGAAGAGAAAGUUGUCUUGGCAACGCGUUCUCGCACAAAAUGAACAUCAACCUCUAUGUGCUUAGUACGUUGAUGUUGAACCGGAUUAAAAGCCAAAGCAAUGGUGGACAAAUUAUCACAAAAUAAAACCGGAGGUGAUGUAAGAGGAACCUGCAGAAAGACUAACAGUUGCUUAAUCCAGUCUAAUUCAGCGGAAGUAGAGGACAAGGCUCGAUAUUCAGCCUCUGUGGAUGAGCGAGAAACUGUCAAUUGUUUCUUUGAAGACCAGGAUAUAGGAUUGUUUCCUAAAAACACAGCCAUGCCAGUGGUAGAACGCCUAUCAUUAGGGUCACCUGCCCAAUUAGCAUCACUAAAGGCUUUUAAUUGCAGUGGUCCUUGUGAAUAAGUGAGGCCAUGAUGAAUGGUACCCUUUAAGUACCUCAAAAUGCGUUUGACAGCAGUGAAAUGAGCAAUCAUAGGCUGUUGCAUGAAUUGACAUACUUGAUUGACAGAAAAUGCUAUAUCUGGCCUUGUAAAUGUGAGGUACUGCAAUGCACCGACUACACUCCUGUACAACGUUGGAUUGGUAUAAGGAGCACCAUCAUCUUUGAGAAGCCGGUUAUAGGGCAAACAGGGAGUCUCACAUGACUUGGACUCAAGCAUCUCAGUUUUAGUAAGGAGAUCCAAAAUAUAUUUGGAUUGAGACAAACAUAAGCCAUGUGCAGUGCGAGAGAUUUGAAUGCCCAGAAAGAAAUGCAGAUCCCCCAGAUCCUUGAUAUCAAAUUCCUUGGUUAAAGCACUAAUAACCUGUUGCAUAGCUGCAUCUGCAUUCCCUGUGAUAAUAAUAUCGUCCACAUAAAGCAGCAAGAUGACAAUACCAGAGUCAACUGUCUUGACAAACAGAGAGGAGUCAGAAUAAGUGUGUUGAAAACCCAAAAGAGGCAAGAACUUGGUAAAUCGGUCAUUCCAAGCUCGAGGGGCUUGCUUAAGUCCAUAUAGGGACUUGUGCAACUUGCAAACAAGGUGAGAAGUAGUGACAUCAUCAAAACCAGGAGGCUGGGUCAUAUACACCUCUUCAUCCAAAAUGCCAUGUAAAAAGGCAUUCUUGACAUCUAGUUGCCUAAGGGGCUAAUGAAAUUGAGCUGCCAAAGCCAAUACUAGGCGAACCGUGGUAGGUUUAACCACAGGACUGAAGGUUUCCCCAUAAUCAAGACCCGGUUCUUGACUAAACCCUUUAGCAACAAGCCGAGCUUUAUGGCGAGCAAUAGUGCCAUCAGAAUGUUUCUUGAUCUUGAAUAUCCAUUUGCAACCGACCAAGUUCUUUGUAGAAGGUAAUACCACCAAACUCCAAGUACCUUGUUUAUGUAAAGCACUGAUCUCCUCUUGCAUAGCUUUCAACCAAGUAGGAUCCUUCAUUGCUGUUUUAUAAGAAGUUGGUUCAAUAAGGGACAAAUCAGUGCAGUCAGACUCCUGAAUAGUAGCUAAUAAAGCUUUGGUCUUGAUAAUACCACUUUUGCUCCGAGUUUGCAUAGGAUGCAAAUUGAGGGGUGGAACCUCCAACACCACUUGCAAAGUAUCAGGACCAAAGGACACUGCUGGAGAAGCAUCAGAACCAGGGACAAGUGCCACAGGGACAGGGACAGGGACUAGAGAAUGAGAAGUGGAAGAACCAGUAAUGGAUGGAACAGAUAGGGGUGAAGAAGGAAUAUGAGAGAUGGAUAUGGGAGAAGGAGCAGGUGAGGAUGAGGAGGCAGGAUUGGUAUGAGAUGAUGGUGAUCGAAAUGAUGAAUGAGACAUAGGUAACACAACAUUGUCAUUAGAAAUCACAGGUGCGGGAAGUGUGAAAGUAGGAACUGAAGAAGAGUUAUAUGAGUUUGUAGAGUGGACCAACACAGUUGUGUAAGGAAAUUGAUCCUCAUCAAACACAACAUGUCUCGAAAUAUAAACUCGCUGUUUAGAAACCUCAUAACAUAUAUACCCUUUAUAUUUGGUAGCAUAACCCAGAAAAAUACACUUGGUGGUCUUGGCUUGUAAUUUAGUAGAAUUAUAAGGCUUUAACAAAGGAUAACAUGCACACCAAAAAAUUCGGAGAUGAGAGAUAACAGGAAGAUGACCAAACAAAAGUUCAAAAGGAGAUUUAUGUCCUAGCACAGAAGAGGGCAUUCGAUUAAUGAGGUAGACAGCUGUUUGACAAGCAUACGACCAAAAACUAGCAGGUAACCUAGCUGUUUGUAAUAGGGUCACAGUAGUUUCAAUAACAUGCCUAUGCUUUCGCUCGGCUAGACCAUUUUGCUCGGGUGUAUGUGGGCAAGAAAGUUGAUGAGUAAUUCCCUUAUCAAGAAGAAAGGACUGAAAAGCCUUACUAACAUACUCACCCCCUCCAUCACUCUGUAAGGUUUGAAUAGCAGUUGAAAACUGAGUAAGAACAAAUUAAUAAAAUGCAACAAAAGUAGCAAAGACAUCAGAUUUGUUGAUCAAAGGAAACAGCCAACAAUGUCUUGUAUAUUCAUCGAUAAAGGUCUCAUAAUAUCUGUAACCAUCAAUGGAAAUAGAAGAAGCUGGACCCCAAAGAUCACUAUGAAUAACAGCAAAAGGUUUUACAGACUUAUUGGUACUUAGGGAAAAGGGAAGUUUACAAAACUUGCUCUCCAAACAGCUAGAGCACAUUACAGGUAAUGAAGACUUGGAACAAGGAAUAUUAGCUUGCUUUAGCAUCAAAGAACCAAUGUUAUUAGAUGGGUGACCUAGUCUGUUAUGCCAGGUUGUAGAAUGAACAUGCUGACCAAGGAAUGCUUUAGCUGGAAAUGGAGCUGAAUGUGUAGAAUGAGAUGUGGCAGAAAGACAAGGGAUGGGAUAGAGGCCAUUACUGCAUUUUCCCUUGUAAAUGAUCCUCCCUGUGGCCUUGUCCUGAAUCCAGAAGCAGAAAGCAUCAAAAAUUAGCCAGCAGUUAUUAUCUAAACAGAUUCGAUGCACAGAUAACAAGUUGUGUGUCAAUUUCGGAACAUAAAGCACAGAAUUGAGCUUAAUUGGAUGCACAGAAUUCAAUUUGGAAACAUUGAGAACUGUGCUACCAAUAUGAGACACAGGCAAACCUUCACCAUUGGCAGUUUGAAUAGUCUCAGAUGUAGGAUAUGGCGAUGCCAAAGAGAGGUUACUGAGAUCGGCAGUCAUGUGAUUAGUGGCUCCAGAGUCAGUGAUCCACACUUGAGGAUCGGAAUAAGAAGGAGACGGUGAAGAUGGUGACUGAGUCAUCACAGUAUGUAAUGCUUGUGGAGAUUGUUGAUGAGGAUGAAAAUUUUGAGAUUGCAUUGAUGAAUGCUGAAAUGGAGCAUUAUAGCUUGGAGCACCAUAUGUGGAUGGGUGCACUUGAGAAGGAUAGAACUGUCGGGUAGGACCACCAAAAUUAGGACCCUUGUCAUUGAAAAAACAGUACCAUGUGCUGUGAUUGUGCUUGCCACAUAUUUGACAUGGAGCUUUAUCAGGAGGUUUAGACUGGCAAUAUAGAGCAGUGUGUCCUUCAACAUUACACGUUUGACAAGUAGGCAGCAAUGGUGCACUUGGAUGACCAAAAUAUGGUACUGGUGAUUGACCAAGUAUUCCUGGACUUGGUGUAGGGAGCACAUGAGUUUGAGUAUACUGUUUGGGUGAAUAGAACCAAGCCCCUUGAUGAAACUUGCCUUUCCCUUUGUUUUUAUUCCCAUUAAACAGCUUGUAACCUCCAGAAAAGAAUUGAGACUGCCCAGAUGCAAGAUUAGGUGAGUGAUUCUUGCCAGAAUGAGAGACAGUAUUAGCAACCAUGGCAGUGAUAUAAGGUGCAGUUGUGGAAGUUUCGACAAUGACCUCUUCAGCAAGCAACUGAGAUCGAAACUCCUUAAGAGAGAUCACAUUCUCACGACCCCGAAUAACACAGCGAAAAGUGUUAUAUUCAGAAGGUAACCCAUUGAGAGCAAGAAUAACUAUAUCCUCAUCCGCAAAAUAAACCCCAGCAGCAGAUAAGUAAUCUCUAGCCUCUUUAAUUCUAUAAAGAUACUGAGACACCGAAUCAGACCCUUUCUUUAUCGUCUGAAGAUUUGACUUCAUUUGAAAAAUGCUAGUCUUAGACACUGUAGAGAACUGUUCUUUCAGACGAAUCCAAAGAUCCUGAGAACUCUUACUACCAAUAGCACAAGACAACGCAACAGGAGACAAAGUGGCUGUGAUCAAUUGCAUUAUAGCCCGAUCAUGCAUUUUCCACACCACAAAUGCAUCGGAUUCAGCAGAAGUACAAGAGCCAGAGUCAGUAGGAGAAACUGCAAAUUGAAGUGGACAAGGGUGCGAGCCAUCAACAAACCCCAUAAUACCAUUGCUUUCCAACAAAAGUUGUAUCUGAAAAUUCCAAUUGAGAUAAUUGGAGUCAUCCAAUUUGACAUUAACCGAAGUCGAGAUUGUGGAGAUUAAAGCAGUAAUCAGAGAUUGCAAAAUUUGAAGUUGCGUUGCAGUCACCAUUGAAAUUUCGUCUGAAAAACUCUCAGAGGAAUAAUAGCAAACAGUUGAUAUGCAAGACGGAAGGAAGCAGAAAAGAUGAUCGAAGAAAGAUCACGACCACCCAAGAAACCUAGAAAUCCAAAUUAGAGGAAGACGAAGAGAAUCAGAGAUCAGAAAAAACACAAAUCAAGAAGAACGAAUACACCUUCAAUCGGAGCGGAAGCAGAGGAUCGAAGAUUAUGCGCAGGCAACAAUGGCAAUUGAUACCAUGUUAACUAUGAUCAAUAUUAUACAGUAAGGAAGACUAAGAAUGUAACAGACUUAGAGAGAGAGAGAGAGAGAGAGAGAGAAAGAACUUAGAGAGAAGAUGAAUAUCUCUGAUAUAUUUCUUAACUUCCAAGUAAUACAGUGUUGAGGUAUUUAUAGUCUUACACUUACACAGCUAACUUCCUUAACUAACUUCUUCUCUAAUCUAAUUACAAGUGGCAACAUCUUAUACACCAAUAUCUCUAUUCUAUCAUAAUUAGAUGAUGGAAUUGCAUGAUGAUCUCAUAUAUAUUUAAGUUUCGUCAAUCAUUCAGACUACAUCAAGAGAUUAGGUCAGUAACUUUUAUAUAUAUUUAUAAAUAAAUCUGUACUAAAUAUAUGUGUUAUAUAUUCUGUGUCCCUUAUCCAUGACCAUGAGGCUUUAUUUUUUGUGAGAGCGAAAUUUGAAGUUAAUAUGUUUUUACCUUAUGAUCCCAUAGCUAGCUAGCUAAUAUAAUUUGUGAAUUAUAGUAUUUACAGAACUAGUACCCACUUUAUUAAAAGAAACAAGGAAAAUUGAAGAAAUACUUUACUGGCUCUUUCAUGCCUCUAUAUAAUGCUGCAUCAUAAGCAUUUCGGAGAAGAGAUCUAGCCAGCGGAUCGAAAAACAGUACUAAAAGCGAUCGGAAUAUCAAAGCGUAGGGACUUCGGUCGUAGGUGAGAUGCAGCCGAAUGCCUUGUAUAUUGGGUUGCUUCGGUUUCAAGCUGUAUAUAUAUAGCUAGCCAAUUCGUGGCACCGAGCUUCAUCUGUCCUCGACUGAAGCCUCUCAAGCUUUGUUUCCACAGAAAAGCAACCCAUCUUUAAUUUCUUUGCAAGCUUGGAGAAUGAUCAGGUGUAGUAUUAUUUUACCCUUUUUUUGGCUGUAUUUUGUUGUCUGUUUUGAGUUGUGGCUUCAUACGUAUAUUUUUGUACUAUAAGAUUUUGUUUCAGAACUAAACCUAUGUUCUUGGAUCAAUGGAUCAUGGUAAAUGCUUAUACGCAUGUGCUAGGGAUCGAAAGACAGAAAGUAUGUGUCUGUAAAAUGUGCCGAAAAAUACAAGAAAAAGGCACCAAAAAAAAAAGAAAAAGAAAAAAAAGAGAGUACCUAGCAAAUGUUUUUCCAAGAUCCAGAAGUAAUGCACAUUUGUUUUCCCUCUCCUACCUAGAUCCGGCCACCUACGACGUCUACUUCUACAUAGGCAACGGAGAAACGCAUGGCCUGGUCGGCAGGGGUGUUGAUCAUUAGCUAGCUAGUGAAGGACUCGAACACAUGAUUUCUUCUGAGAAGGGUAUAUUUGUCAAGAUGAAGGCUGAAGGAUGACGAGCUAAUUGGAGAUCUUCUGUUCACAAGGUUCACCGCAAGUUUAGUCAUUUUACAUGUCAUUGCAGUAUUAAUUAGAACAUAGUAAUCAUCGUAAGCCUGCAACUGGUGUUUUUAUCUUGUGCUAAAUAUUCAAGCCAGCUAUGUUUGGAGAUAGCAACAAAUUAGCCUAUUUUCUCUUAGUUUAAUUGAUUUGACUUUAAUUUUACUGGUCCAGAAUAUUAUUUAACUUAUAUAUAUUUGUGUGUAUGUAUAUAUUGUUAAACAAUUAUCUUUUCUUUCCAGUGAUGUGCUCCAUAUAUUCAAUCAACUAAUGAUCCCUGAAGGCAUAAUUUCUUGCAUAGCAAAUGAUUCAAUUAAAUAAUGAUCCAAUGUGGGGUAUAAAUGAUUUCAUGAUAUAUGCUUUUAGGAGUUUCUUUUUCUAGGGUUGAGAGAUUCUCCCUCUGUAGAGCACUUUAAGGCCUCAUUUAGCACGUUGUAUAAAGUAUUGGAUAUGACUAAUAGUACAAAGCCAAUUGUUUGAUGCAUUUUCGUAUUAAAUAGCCAACUGACUAAUUAUUCAGACUCAUUUAUUUUAUCCGGUCUACACCUGCUAACUAAUACACUCCAAAAUGAAGGAUAAUUAGUCGGCUUAUCUCUCUCUUCGUUCCUCGUUCUUCUUCCUCCAACCAAGGUGUUUCCUUCUACCCAACCAACCAUGGCAGCAAUCGGAGUGAUCCUGGAAGUCAUUCCAAAGCCAAUCGUCGCAGACCCUAGUCUCCUAUCCCUCUAUAUUUUUCUUUCAGAUCUUCGCGAGCCAAGAUUAUCCAGAAUGUUUGGGGAGACUUCAAAGAGAUUACCUAGUGCAGAGCAAUCCUUCUCUUUUUCCUUCCAUAUUCUCACCUUUCAUCUAUUCUUUUUUUCUAAUUUCUACAACAGAAUAAAAACCAGAAGAAAAAAAGAAGGCCAUGCCUUGCCUGCGCAAUUUUUUUUUUUAUAAAUUUCGUUCAAAUUUGUUUGAAAGUUCAAAAUCCUUGUUCAAUCCAUUUUCAAUUAGUGGGCAAGAGGGUAAGAUUUGUAUGGGAGGAUGGGAUUUAAUGCGUAGGGAGGAAGAUGGUGAAGAAAUGAAGUAGAGAAAUCUGGAUUCUUUUUUCUUACUUUCUUUUUUUUUUCUUUUUUUUCUGUUUUUCCUAAUUUUUUUUUUCAUUUUAACAUCAAUUAUUAAGUUAAAAUUAUUAUAGUUUGACAUAUUAUCCGAUGUAAAAAUUAAUUUGACACUGCAUCAAACAUUGAAUUAUUACUUAGAAUUAUCUGAUACAUAGAUUAGGAAGUUUGAUUAAAAUAGUUAAUACAGUUCGACGUACCAAAUGAUGUCUAAAAAGUGGUGGUAGUGGUUUCAACCGUCAAUUCAUACAUUUCCAAUCAGUUAAGUUUAUCAGUUUAUGUUUACUGUUUUUUUAAUUUAUAAGCAUUUAGUUGAUCUUCAUUACAGUUGCACAAUAGAGUUUUUCUUUAGAUUAAAAGAUGGCAAAGAGGUAAAUCUGGCUGGCCAUGAUGAGGUUUUGACGAGGCAUUUACUUUGGGUUGAUUAUACCCUUGUGUGUGUUAAUGAUCAUCAUAAAGAUGUGAAGCACUAACAUCUUGCAUUAACUCACCUUUUUAUCCUUAGUAGAUCUACUAGAUUACCUACCGUAGCAAAGGUUUUUGUGAGAUUUUUCUUUUGAUAUGUGCCCCCCUACUAUGAGACUCAUGUUAACAACUAUUUGUACAUGUCGAGAACUUAUGACAACAACCUCCAUCUCCUAAUCAUGAAGACCCGAUGCAACUACUUCUUAAGUUGUACACGAUAGAAUAUUGUAAUUAGUGUGUUUAUUUGGGAAUGUGAUUGUGUAAACUUAAACAAGAAUCCCAAUAGGAGUUGGAGAUCGAAUCCUCAUAGACCUAGUGUUACUUAUUAGGCAAGAAGAUAGGGCCAAAGAAGGUGAUAGCCCUGUAGAUUCGUUCCCAUGGUUCGAUCCUUCCUAGUAAAACGCGGCAUGUUCGAAUUCUGAUCGCUUUUUACCCGAGAAAGGGGGACCUCCCUUCUUUCCGCCCCUAUCCCUUUUUAUCAACUUUUGUGGAUCGCUCAUAAAUAAACAUACAAGAUCAAGAGAUAAACAUACAAUUCUCAUACAUCUCAGUCAUUCUCUCUCUCUCUCACCACUUUGAAAGUUAGCUUUACAACAACUAACUUUUUUUUUCCUUAAUGAGCUUUGAUCAAGAGAUAAAUAUUUUUACACUUCUUUUAUAACGUAUAUGGGUUCUGGAAUCUAAAUAGGGAAAAUUUAUAUGGAAAAAAAAUAUAAAAACUGGAAGAGAAAUAUCAUGAUAAAGAUUUAAGCAAUAGCUAUCGAUAUUAGCACAUCGUGGAAUUAUAAAGUAAUUUCAUUAUGAUAUAAUUAUUAAUUUUUCUGGGCUAAGAGGAUCGGCAAGAACGAAAAGAUGGAGCAAAUAGCUCAUAAUUAACUACAUCAUUUGCUUCCACGAUUGAAGAUUCUGUUAUUGAAGUGAAUUUAACUUACAAAGUUUUUUUGGUCUUUUAUGAAAGUGUUGAUCGGAAAAAGUUUAUAUGGUUUUCUUUUAUUAAUUAUGUGGAGGACCACAGGCAGCAAAAUAUGGCAUACAGGAAAAAAAGAGAGGAAGAAAGUGGGUUGUGGUCUUAUAAUUUUAGCAUAAUAUUAUUUUGAAUUUUUAUUACAAAUGAUCUCUGGAAUUUAUCUAGUUCAUCAAGAUGGUCCCUGAAUUUGAAAAUGGGUAAUGCUAGGGAGACUAAAUUUGGAUACUAAAUUUGCAAACCAAAUGAUGUGUCACUAAUAGGAAUAAGCACAUUUAUCAACAUUUAAAUAAUAAACCAAUUAUCAAUUUACAUAUUUUUUAGUUUUCAAAAUUUUGUCUUUAAAUUUAGUCUCCCUAACAUUACCCUUUGAAAAUCAAUCAAUAUGAUCCCUGAAAAUGGAUGAUGCAAAUCAAUGUCGUCCUUCUGUUUAAAUUCCGGUAAAAAUUAUGUUAGUGUGCUAACGUCGCACAUUGUAGGCCCCAUACUCCAAUACAUGGUGCCAUGUGAAUUAGAAAAAGUUCAUUUUUAAUUAAAAAAACAAGAAAUGUGUUUAAAAAUUAAAAAAAAAAUAUUCUAAAAAAAUAUAUCUCUAAUAUCUCAAAUUGUCGUCGUCGUCUUCGUCUUCGCACCCAGCCAAACCCAUAUUCUGUCUCCUUGACUUCAACCGGUAGUUUUUGGUACCAAUCAGUGAUUUGCUGCUUUACUUUGUCACCUCCAUAACCUUUCCAAAAACUAGAUUGCUUCGACUAACAUAGAAGACACAACUACAAAAACAAUCUUCUUCUCCAACACUACGACCACGACCACCCUUCUCCGAUCGCACCACGAACAAAUCCAUGGCCGACCGAGGAGGGGAUGCGGCACCAACAAUCAAAUCAGCGAAGUUGAGAGAAGAAGAAGAAGCAAAGCAGCGGCUCCACCGCCCGAGAAGCCGGAGCUGCACGAUUGUUGCGGCAAUGGAUGAUUCCGGUGUGUGUGGAAUGUGUAUUCUGAUAGGAUCAUACAUGGAAUAAGGAGGAAAUGCAGGGAAUUAACAUAAAGUAAAGAGACAAUUGCAGGAAAUUAACAUAGAGAGAAAGGGGGAUCGCGGGAAAUUAAAGAGUAAGGGAAAGAAGCAACUAUGUUCAUUCAUUCAUCCACCCCUUUGCGACGGUGGAGAGAUUGAAAUUCGUGUGCUCUAGCUUUUUGGCGACUCUUGACGGCCCCAACGAGAAAGGAUGGAGUCGAGUUUUUUCUUUUUCGUCUUUUACUUUUUAUUUUUUUAUUUAAAUAAAAACUUAAUUUUAAUCCACAUGUCAUAAAAAUAUUGGAUAGUGGGGGCUCACAAUGUGCCAUGUUAGCACACUAACACAAUUUUUAAACGAAAUGACGACAUUGAUUUGUACUACUCAUUUUCAGAGAUGGCAUUGAUCGAUUUUCAAAUUUAGGGACAAUCUUGAUGGAUUAGGUCAAUUUCAGAUACUAUUCAUGAUAAAAACCUUAUUAUUUUCUGAGCACAUAUUUUAUUUCAACCCAAAAGAUUGAGAGGAGACACGUGCCCCUUGGUCCUCUAUUAGCUUAGUCAUUGGCUAUGUAUCAUAAUCAAGGUAUUAAAUAUCGGUAAUAUCGGAAAUAUCAGUAGUCCGAAAACACGGAAAUAUCGAUGGAAAUAUCGGGAUGAUAUCGAUAUCGAUAAAAAUUACAUGAAAACCACGGAAAUUGUAAGAAAAACUUGGAAAUUUUUAUUGAAACUUUGCAGGAUGUUUAUUUAGUCAAUUAUCUAUUAGUUUAUCACAAAAAAUUGGAAGGAAAUGCAUUGCAUGAUGGAUUUAACAUUAUCAAGUUGAUUAUAUAGCGAGCUGACAAACAUUGUGAGUGUAGAAAAUAUGUAGUAAUUAAUGAAAGAAGUCUACACACCAUAAUCAUUUAUAUAUAAUGAAUUAGUACAAUAUUUUACACUUUAGUACCACAUAGAGUUCCUAUGAGGUUCAAAUUUUUCACUAUCUUCAUCAUCUCUAUGUGUAGAGUGAGUGUAUUGUGAAGAGUAGUUAUCAAAUGAUAAAUCCCCAAAAUAGUUUUGCAUGUAAUUGUUAACAUGCCACCCAUAUGGAUCCGAGAUUGGUUGAGGUUGUCCAUAAGCAAAAUCAUUUGAAGAUUGAGUCUGGGAUUGUUUCCAUGAGUCGCUCGAUUCCAUCCUAACAGGAAUGGGAUAUGAAGGGUAGGGAAAUGGUUGGUUAUGAGUAUAACCAUAGUUACUACUUCCCACUCCAACAAAGUCCGAAAUUCUAGAUAACGAGUCAUCUUCUUGACUUGACAAAAUCCCCUUGCCUCUUUCUCUACGAGUAUAGUCCUUUCCUAUGGCACCAAUUCCUGGUCCUGCCCGCCUACUGCCAUGGUCAUCAUCCUGUGUUGCAUGCGUGAUGUUUGCCUCACCAGUGAAGGGGGUCAUAAAUCCGGGAGGUGGUCCAUAAUAGUUUCCAUAUCCACCACUACUACCUCCAGCUCCACUACCUCCAGCUCCACUGUAUCCUUCAUCAUUCCCACCUCCAGUGGUAGGUGAGUCUCCUGAUCUUGUACUAGAGCUAUCAUUAGUAUCAGCACGAUGUUGUGGUUGUGUAGGAUUGGACGAAGGUGGAAUUCCAGUGUUUCUUGGUCUUGGGUGCAAAAGUUCUUCCAAAGAGUCAGCGCUGCUAGAUCCCACUUCCUCCUCUAAUACUCUUUCUACAUUUAUCCCUUCAUUACGUGCUUCUUCAGCAACUUUGGGAGCUGGGUUGCCUUCAUCAUCAUUUAAAUGAAGAGGUCUAAUCCAUUGAUAAAGUUGGUUACCCUCUGUAUCAUCAUCUUCACCAACAAUAUCAAACACAUCUAGUGGGUCACCACGGUUGACAUGAUCUAUUUCUGCUUCCUUAUCUCGAAUUUGAAGCUUCAUGUUGUAGUAGCAAUAAACUAAUUUUUCCAACCUACUAUGAGCCAACCUAUUUCUUUGCUUUGUGUGUAUGAGUGCAAAUGUGCUCCAAUUUCUUUCACAAGCAGAUGAGGAAGCUGUUUGUGAUAAUACUUUGAUUGCUAACUUUCUCAUAGUUGGUGCAUCGGUCCCAUACAUGAUCCACCAUUCAGCUACAAUGAAAAACAAUGUUGAUAAGCCUAAUAACUCGAACAAAUUCUAUUAUAAACUUAUAGUGAAAUAUGUUUACACUCACUAGGAGACAUUGUUGUUCGAGCAGCAAUUGAUGUUGGUUCUCCAAAAGUUCUUCUUGCAUCUUUAAACCAUGUUAGCUGAAUUCAAUAAAUCGUGUUAGUUUAAUCCAACAAAGUAAUUAUUAUAAUUUAAGUAAUUGUGUACCUCAUUUCCAAAUUGGCCAACUUCUGGUGAUGCAGGGUCCAAUUUAGAGUAUACAUUAUGUACAGCACGUAUAAGGGCACCAUCAUCUCCAACACCGGGUCUGUAUUGGUAUCGAGGAUUCAAAUAAUAUGAUGUUCAAAGAAACACAUACGCUAAUAAGAGAAAAAAUAUUUAUGCAACUAAAGAAAUGAAUUGCAAAUUAUGACAUAAUUUAUACCUGCUGCAUGCAAAUCGUGGUAUAAUGUUUUAUACCAUCGGUCAUCAAUUAUCUUUAUGGCCCACCUUGCACCAGGUUUUCUUUCCAAUUCCUCCUUCACUACACGCAUCAACUCAUAUAUUGCCCCCAUAGUAGGAUACACUUCUGUGUCAACAAUCCGUAAAACUUUGUAAAGAGGUUCUAACACUUGGCACACAUAUUCUGAUUGAGUCCAAAAAGCAUGAUCAAGCACUAUACUUUCCACCAUACGACCUGCAUUUGAGCGGCUCAAAUUGUGGUUGGCCCAAUCUUCACUAGUGAAUAAUUGCUUCAACCCUGCUUUCUUCUUAAGUAGGUUGUCUAAUGCAAUAUAGUUGGUGGCGAAUCGAGUGGUAGCUGGACGAAUAACUUCUCCUUUGCAAAAUUCACGCAUCUUUGCCAACAACCAACCGUGGUUGUAAAUAUAAUUUGUGAUCGUUCUAGCUCUUUUUACAACAUUAGCAAUAUUCUCUCUUCCCCAUUGCCUCAAACAUGAGAUCAAUACAAUGUGCUGCACAUGAUGUCCAAAACACAUUAUGAUGCUUCAUUAACUUUUUUCCAGCUUUAACAAAUGCAGAACCGUUGUCGGUCACGACUUGGACAACAUUAUGCUCUUCCACCUCCAUGAUUACAUCCCUCAAUAACUUGUAAAUAUACUUGUAGUUCUUUAUAUGGUCUGAAGCAUCAACGGACUUAAAAAAAAUUGUCUUUCCCUUGGAGUAUACCAUGAAGUUUAUGAUAGACAAUCUGGUUGGGCCAGUCCAUCCGUCACACAUGAUUGUGCAACCAUUAGUUUCCCACUUUGACCUCAACUUGUUAACAUACUCGUCAAUGUCUUUAUGCUCCAUUUCCAAAUAUUUGUUUCUUACCUCAUAGGGAGUGGGAGGUUGUACUCCAACACUGGCCUAUUGACAUCCCAAUACCAUAUUUUUGAAAUGAUGUGAUGAUGCCUUCUCAGCAAGGACAUUUUCAUAGAUAAAGAACUUGCUAAUUAGACGCCCCAUUCCCUCCUUCACAUUACCUCCCUUGAAAUAACUCCAAACACUCUUUUGACGUGCUUUGGAUGAGUUAUAUAAACUUGGGGCUAUUGGUGGUGUUGGUUGUAAUUCUCUAAGACUGCCUCCCCGUCUCAUUUGUGCACCAUCACUUGUCCUGGAACCUUGUCCUCUAUUAGGAAUUUUAUGAAGGUGUUCUCUUUCCCAUGCUGACUGUUUGGAGGCACGUAAUGCUUGUUUGAAAUUGCGCCGUUCUUCAGGUCCCAUGUCAUCAUCACAUUCGUCCUCAUCGUCAUCAUCAUCACUAUCAACCGCUUGGCCAAUGACUUCUUCUCGUAGCCCAGCUCGAAUAUUUUCCAUUCCAUAUGUUUUCUUUUCCUUCUGGUGUUUUUUAUUUUUUAAUAAUGUGGUGAUGAAUGCCUUCACUUCUGGGGGGACACUAUCGCAUCGUUGGACAUUAUAUCCUGGAUCUAAUCCACUAAGAUGGUGCUUAAGUCGUGUCACUCCGCCACUCUUCAUUACAUGACCACAAUAUUUGCAAAUUGUGCCAUGUUUGUUUCCGUCUAUUGGGUCUCCAUGUUCCCAAGCUGGAUCACGUUUAGACAUCUUAAACGUACCUGUAUUUAUUUUGCAUGGAAAUUAUGCAAUUAUUUUUUGGCCAAAAAAUAUAGUAGUGACGGUUAUAUAAGAGAACCUAAAUAAUAAAGUUAUUCUACAAAAGAAUUAAAUAGGAAGUAAACAAAAUGAUUGUAAGGUGUAGAAAUUAUAAAAAGAAUAUGGAAUAAUAAAACCUAAUAUUAAUGAAUAAUAACCAGUUUGAUAAUAAAAUAAUAAAUAACAUUAAACAUAUUAAAAUUAUCCUAGGGAAUAAUUAUACAACAUUACUUAAUUACUUCAAAAAAUUAACAUAUUAUUUGGUUCUUAGAUCACAUGCACAGGUCCACACAAAUUUUUUUGUAUAAUUAACCUCCUUAUAUAUGUACAUUAUCUAUAUAUCCAACUUAACUAGUGUUUGUAUUAUAUAUUAUUACAAAUUGUUAAGAAUUAAUAAAGUGUUCUAGACAAACUUCUUUCUUUUUUAGUGUUUUAAAACCUUUUUCUUUUUUUUUCUUUUUUUUUGAGAAAAGUGUUUUAAAACUUUUUAAAAUUGUUUAUUCUUUCCUUUUCUUUUCCUUGCCGUCUCUUUUAUAUUCUUUGAAAAUGGAGACUAAAAGGAUUGAUUAUGGACCCUUUUCGUGGGAGGUAUGUAGAAAUUGUUUAAUCAAAAUGGAUAAUCAGGAGCAAACGAGUUCGAACAAAGCCAUAAAGCAAAGUUAGUAAAUGUUUUGCCCCUCUUUUGGUGUUGGAAAGUUCAUUUACGAUAGUGUGAGGAUGUGAAAAUUAAAUAAUCUCAUGCAUGGGUCCGCACAAAUUUUUUUGUUGUUGUAUAAAUUACAAUAAUAUAAAUGUAAGUUUGUAAACUUACCUUAAAUGUAACAAAUCUGGAACUUUCGAUGUCGUACGUAGCAGCAGCAAAACCUCGACGAUCCUCUGCAGCUUGCCGUCUGUGAAUAAAUGAGAGAGAAAAGGUUUUGGAAAGGAUCUGAAAGGGCUAAGGGAAGAAGAAGAAACGGAAAUGUGUAAUAAAGGUUUUUCAAUUUUCGAAGGGUCAAAAAAUGUGUGAUGAUCUGAUACUCCACCUCUGGGACGCACACGGUUUUGAACUUUUGGCAGUGUUUUUUUUUUACACACACACAUGGGUUUGACAGUGAGAAACCACUCCACCAUACAUUUUUGUCUUGUCACUGUUUUUUUCACACACGGAUAUAUCUUUUUGUCUUAUCAAGAUUUUUUUUCACGGAAAAUGAUUCUCAUGUGAUUUGAAGGUGUAAGGCUACAUGCCUGUAUGGCAGUAUGGGCAUAUGACAGUUUGGUUCAGUUUCAGUGGGUUUUCUUUGGAUUUAUUUGCAAAAUUAUUGGCACACACACACUCACACUAACCUAACAUCUCACAGUCACAGGCACAUUAUUUUCACAUCUUUUCACCUCUGGGUGCAAAAUUAUUUUCACCUAUUUUCACCUCUGCAACACUCUGCAACACACACAUUCACCUAUUUUCACCUCUGCAACACUCUGCAACACACACACACACACACGAUGCAACACGCACACACGCACACGCAACAAGCACACACACACACACGCACACGCAACAAGCACACACGAACACGCACACACGCAUACCUUUCUGGAUCCUUCUCUCUCUCCCUCGGUCUCUCCGUCUCCUUCUCUCCCUCGGUCUCUCCGUCUCCUUCACACGCACACGCAACAAGCAGAGAACACAGAGCCUUCCGUCUCCGUCUCUCCCUCGGUCUCUCCGUCUCCUUCUCUCUCUCGGUCCGGUCUCUCCGUAGUCCGUCCAAUAUGUUGGGUCACCUCAUCACCUCAGACUCUCUCGAAUCUCGAUCUCGAUCUGGAUCCUUCCCUCAGUCUCUCCAUCCUUCUUCUUCUCCCUCAGUCUCUCGAACUCGAUCCUUCUCCGGUUCUCCCCCCCUCAUCUCUUCUCUGCAACUCCGCCGAGUUGCUUGGGGCCUUUUUACGGUCUCUCUACACCCUGGGGGACGUGAUUUUGCUGUUGUUCAGCUCGUACCCACCACCUGUGGUUUCCUCCUCCCUUUCUCACCUCCCGGCGGCGGCGACGACGACGAAUAUCGCGAUAUUUUAAAGAUAUUUUAAUUUUACUCAAAAAAAUAUCGGCCGAUCAAAAAAACAAUAUUAUCGGCGAAAUAUCGCCGAUAAUAUCGAUUUUUAAGACAUUGAUCAUAAUGCAUCUGUUACGAUGACGAGAGAUAUAGAUACAAACUGAUAUAUUCUUGACUACACAAGACAUGAUACAGUUAAAAAAAUAUUUAUCACCGACUACACAUCAAAUUUCUCUCGAACAAAAACAAUAGAAUAUAUGCAAUUGACGUGAAUUGUAUGGAAAACAACUGUGGGAUGUGGGGCCACUAUUUGAUUCAAUACAUGUGUGUAAAUUGCCCUUCAUUCAUAGACCAUAAAAACAUGUAAAAUGUUUUGGUGCAAUCAUUUUACAUGAGUCCACAACUUUGUGUUUUACUAGUUGCAGCAAAUUACCCUAAUGUUGAUGUCAAGUCCCUUUCAACAUUUACCACCAUGCACUAGAGUGCUUAAUUCACUUCCAUCAAUGAGAGAGAACCAAAUGUUAACAAAAAAAGAGAAAUACAAGUGUUUUUUGGUCUAAUUAUUUUUUUUUUCUUUUUAGAGUUAAUAAUUUUUGAGGCAAUAAGGUUAGCCGACGGUGAGAGUGGAUGUAGAGUGAUGGGUAAGAGUAUGCUAGAUCUAGAAUUCAGGAUCCUACAAUAUAACCAAAAUUAAAAUUUCGUAGAGGCAACAAGCUAGUUUAAAAUCUUUUGGUGGACGCCAGUAGGGAUGACCUAUGGGUACCCGUUUAGCUAAAUGGAUGUUCAUUUAAGUGUGAAAUAUGUGCUAAUUGUGGUGGCGAAUGGUAGUUUUUGUGCUCGUGAUAAUGAAAUAUAUAAUGCAUCACUGAAGGGAUCACACCACACAACUUGAAGAGUAAUGUUUAUAAAAUAAGUACUUACAAAAUUAUAAAAGUUUAGGUAAAAAUAAAAAGAAAGAUUUUUUCCCCUGGGAUGGGCGUAAAUUCUUAGGUGUAAUCGAGCUUAUCUCUCUCAUGUGAGAUUUUUUGGUGUAAAUUGGAUGUAAGGCCGCCAUGUGAAAUGAGAUCCGAAAUAUAGAAAAGGGAAUACUCUUUAAAAUAAAUAUAGAGAGAGAGAGAGAGAGAGAGAGAGAGAGAGAGAGAGAGGGGAAUAUAUUUUAGAAUCUCCAUCUCCACGCGUGGGGAAUGUAUGGAUGGCUCCAAAGCUGAUAGGGUCAUGGGCUUCAAGGCAUUGGCAUAAACCCAAUGAAAUAUAUCCAAUAAUCCAAAUGAUGGCAAUCAAGGAAAAAGAAACCCUAAAUAUAAUAUGACGUGCAAAACAAGUUCGAAAAUCUGCAAUAUUAUUACAUAGAUGUAUGAAAAAAAUAGCUAUAUUUGAUCCAAAAGUUGCACAGAAUCAAACAUGUUUUCUUUGGAUUUCCUCUUUCAAAAUAUCCAUCUUUCCAGCAGUUCUUACUCUCCCAUCAGGCCAUCAACAUUUCAAGACACUUUUACUGAAGCAUACGAAAUGCUUUUGGAUCAAAAUUGUCUCACUUUUCAUGGGAAGUUGAUAAUUUCUUCAUUGAAAAUUUCAUCGCUAAGAACCAUGCAUUUUGUUGUAGGUAUACACUACAAGUUAAAUUCUGGGAUUAGUUCUAAUAUACGACGAAUAUUAGAAAAGAAAACAUGAGUCUAACAUCUCUUUCCUUUUCUUUUGACUGGCCAAUGGAAAAAUGAACCCUGUAAGUUACUAGUGAGUUUCUAACGUACGUGUGUGUGGUUAGGCCAGUGUUCCAAACUUUAAAUAACAUAUUUAAUUUUGAAGAAUGAUUAAUUAAGUUCAUUAGAAUAUGCCAAUUUAUCUCACUUUAUGUAAUCACAGGAAAAUUCCUUGCAAAUUAAAAGCAAACUUCGUGGUAAUGUAUAUUUAAUUUCCUUAUAUUGUGAAAAAAACCUAACAUUCCCCCAGUACAGAAAGAAACAUGCAUGGCUAUAAAUAUGGGGUUAUCUAAGGUCUUGAAACCAUAAUCAACACAAAACAAAGAAGAUAUAAAAGAGGUUUGAGGGGUUCAUGUUGCAAGAGAGAUGGCAUGAGCUACGCUCAAGCUAGUAGCAUGUUCCAUCCUCUUGCGACAUGGAACCCUUUAUAUCUUUAUCCAGAUGUAGUAAUUUCUUUAUUUUAUUAAAGAAAAAUGCAGCAUUCUCCAAAUUCAUUGAGAGGAAGGGAGAGAGGGAGAGAUCUCUAGAGAUAUGAUGAAUUAAAAUUGGUUGGGAGAUUUAUGUUCGCAGGAGAGAUGGCACUAAUUGUGCUACAACUACAAGCAAUUGUUGCCAUCUUUCCCGUGACCAAAAAGCUCUACACAACUUCAACGACCUUGAUCUUUCUCUACGACAUUUUGGGGUUUUUUGAUUCCGACAUGAUUUUUAUCUUAUGGUUGUAGAUUAAUUAUCUGAAUAUAAUAUAUAUAUAUAUAUAGUAUCAGUUACUAAUUAAGCUUGACUUUGUCAAGAUAUGAUUGUUUUAGCUAGACAUCUACUGUACUGUCUCUUUCAUGCCUAAAUAUAAAGCUGCCUCAUGAGGAUUUUGGAGAAGAGAUCUAGCCAGCGGAUCGAAAAACAGUUCUAAAAGCGAGAUCGGAAUAUCAAAGCGCAGGUCGUAGGUGAGAUGGCUCCGAAUGCCAUGUAUAUUGGUAGUAGCUGCGGUUGCAGGCUAUAUAUAGCUAGCCAAUUCGGGGCAGCGAGUUUCAUCUCUCCUCGACUGAAGCCUCUAGCGUUUUGAUUACGCAGAAAAGAAACCCAUCUUUAAUUUUUUUUGCAUGCUUGGAGAAAGAGCAGGUGAAGUAAUAUUAUUUUACCCUUUUUUCUGUAUUUUGUUGUCUGUUUUGAGUUUUGGCGUCAUGCGUAUAUUAUUGUACUCUAAGAUUUUGUUUAAGAACUAAACCAAUCUUCUUGGAUCAAACCUUCAUUGGAUCAAUGGAUCAUGGUAAAUGCUUAUAUACAUGCUAGGGAUCGAAAAGACAGAAAGUAUGUGUGUAAUUUGUGCCGAAAAAUAGAAGAAAAAGCAAAAGUACCUACAAAAUGUUUUUCCAAGAUCCAAAUGCACAUCGGUUUUUCCUCUCCUUUUAGCUAGAUCUGGCCACCUGCGACGUCCACUUCUACACAGGCAAUGGAGAAACGCAUGGACUGGUUGGCGGGGGUUUUGAUCAUUAGCUAGGUAGUGAAGGACUCAAGCACAUGAUUUCCUCUGAGAAGGGUAUAUUUGUCCAGAUGAAGAGCUAAUUGGAGAUCUUCUGUUCACAAGGUUCACUGCAAGUUUAGUCAUUUAACAUGUGAUUGCAGUAUUAAUUAGAACUUAGUAAUCAUCGUAUGCCUGCAACUGGUGUUUGUAUCUUUUGCUAAAUAUUCAAGCAAGCUAUUGUUUGGAGAUAGCAGCAAAUUAGCCUUUUUAAUCUUAGUUUAAUUGAUUUGACUUUAAUUUUUCUAGGCCGGAAUAUUAUUGAACAAAUAUAUAUGUGUAUGUGUAUGUACAAGUUGUUAAACAAUGAUCUUUUCGUUCCGGUGCUGUGCUCCAUAUAAGAUUCAAUCAACUAAUGAUCCCUGAAGGCACAAUUUCUUGCAUAGCAUAUGAUUCAAUUAAAUAAUGAUCCGAUUUGAGGCAUCAAUGAUUUCAUGAUAUAUGCUUUUAGGAGUUCUUUUCGUAGGGUUGGGAGCUUCUCCCUCUAUCUAGCAUUCUAGGUGGUGGUGGCUUCAACUGUCAAUUCAUAAAUUUCCAAUCAGUUAAGUUCAUGUUUACUGUUUUUUUAUUUAUAAGCAUUUAACUGAUCUUCAUUGCAGCAGAAAGUUUUUUUUUUUUCUUUCUCAUUACAGUUGCAUGGUAGACUUUUCUUUAAAUUAAUAGAUGGUAAAGAGGUAAAUCUAGGUUGGUCAUGAUGAGGUUUUGACGAGGGAUAUAUUUUGGUUUGAUCAUACCCUUGAGUCUGUUAAUGAUCAUUCUAAAGAUGUGAGAGACUGACAUAUUACUGCAUUAACUCACUUUUUUUUACUUAGUCUAUUAGAUUACCCACCGUAGCUUUCGUUUUUGUGAGAUUUUUCUUUUGAUAUGCACCCCUAAUAUGAGACUCAUGUUAGCAACUAUUUGUACAUGCCGAGAACUGACGGCAACAACUAUCCUCUCCAAAUCAUGAGACUUGAUGCAACUACUUCUUAAGUUGUACACAAGAGAAUAUUGUAAUUAGUGCGUUUAUUUUGGAAUAUGAUUGUAUAAACUUAAUUAAAGGAGAAUCUGAAUAGGAUUUGGAUCAAAUCCUCAUAGAUUUUGUGUUACUUGUAAUGCAAGAAAAUCCAUCAUGAUUAGUAUAAAUAAAGGUUCAAGGCCAGAGAUGAACAUACAAUUCUCAUACAUCUGAGUCAUUCUCGCUCUCUCACCACUUUCAAAGUUAGUUCUACGUACAAUGAAUAACUUUUUUUUCAUAAUGAGCUUUGAUCACGAGACAAAUAUUUUUGUUGACGUAUAUGGGUUCUGGAAUCUAAAUAGGAAAACUUUAUAAGGAAAAAAAAUAUCAAAACUGGAAGAGAAACAUCAUGAUAAAGAGUUAAGCAAUAGCAAUUGAUACUAGCACAUCCUGGAAUUAUAAAGCAAUUUCAUUAUGAUCUAAUUAUUAAUUUUCUGGACUAAGAGGAUCGGCAAGAACAAAAAAAUGGAGCAAAGAGCUCAUGAAUUAACUACAUCAUUUGCUUCCACCAUUGAUUAUUCUGUUCUUCAAGUGAAAUUCACUCACAAGGUUUUUUCUGGCCUCUUAUGGAAGUGGUGAUGGGAAAAAAGUUUAUAAGGUUUUCUUUUAUUAAUUAUCUGGAGGACCAUGGCAUACAGGGAAAAAAAGGAAGAAAGAGGCUUGUGGUCUUAUAAUUUUAGCAUAAUAUUAUUUUAUGAGCACAUAUUUUAUUUCAACCCAAAAGACUGAGAGGAGACACGUGCCCCUUGGUCCUGGACUACAGAAAACAUGAUACAGUUAUAAAAAAGGAGUAAUUAGGUUUUCAUCCUUAUUUUUACUACUCUAUUGAUUAAAACCUUAUUACUUUUCAAUUUUUGAUCAAGGUCCUUUGUAUUAAUAAUAUCAUUAAUUAUUUCAAUAAUAAAAUAUUUUUUAUUUCUAAAUAUAUUCAUUUAAUAUUAAAAAUAUUACAAUUAGUAUAUUUAUAUUUAUGGCUAAAUUUUUUAUCAUAUAUUUUUAUUUUUAGUUUGUACCCAUUUUUAAUUUGCAACCCUUUUUUAAUUUGUACCAAUUUUCCUUUCAGUUUUAAUUUGUACCCAUAUAUUAAUUUCUUUUUGUGCCCAUAUUUUUUAAAGUUUUAUUUGUAUUGUACCCAUAUUUUUUUAUUUAUUUGUACCCAUUUUUAUUUUUGCUAAAUGUACCCAUUUUGAAGAAUGUAUCCAUGUUUUGAUACAAUAAUUUUUUGGUUAUUUUUUAUGAAUGUACCCAUGUUUACACACACACACACAAUAGUAUAUUUAUAUUUUAAUAUUUUUAAUCCCACAAAUUAUGGUUUUUUAUUUAAAAUCUCAUUACUAUAAAUGACACACCCCGUCCCGAAGGAGGGCAUGCUGGCCGUCACGUGAGAGUGACGUAACCAUUUGCACAGUACGGAAGCUUUAAGAUACAAUUUAUAAGUUGAUACACCCGAAGGUGAGUCCUAAUUUUGUCCAAUCUGUCAGAACACCGUCGAAUUCCUCGUAGUCACCACACCUUUGUGAUUCCUGAACCUGGAGGGGCGCAAAACCAAAAUUGAGUGGGUCAGUAAAACAAUUCUUUUCCAAAUCCAAACAUUUCUCAAAACGUUGUAACCCCUCUCCGUAAAACCUGUAUACUUUCCCAGAAAUGUAAAAUAUAAAUAUACAUAUAUAUUCUCAAAACUUCAUUUUUACUAUCUCAACAUUAUCUCUUUAUCAAUCAUGCCAUGCCAUGUCAUCUCAACAUUUCUCAUAUUAAUUAUGCCAUGCCACAUCAUCUCAACAGUAAUAAGGUAUGAAUGCAUCAACAUAAUCAUAUCAGGUGCAAGAAAGUAAUCAACCGUAGGCCCUCUAAUAGCCCUAUACGGUUGAACCUAGAGCUCAAAAUCUAUCAUUAUCACUCUACCGGAGUCACCUCUGUGACCCGUCCGGCCUUCUGCACACAAGUUACGCUCUAGUGCUUCUCAUAAAUCAUCUGUGCACAUAAUCUAAGGUCACCCACCAGUCGGAAUCUCACUAACACUCUCGCGACUGGUCUGUCGUACCCACUCCGCGUGGACUGUACGACUAGCAUCUACUUGGAUCCAAGGCGAGCGUGCGAUGCGGUGAAUACUAUAAGCACUAAACCAUGGUGCAGGAUUUGAGCUCAAUAUAUAUCAUCAUCAUCAUAACAGUAAUUAAAUACUCAUCUGUGCGUCCACCGCACCAUUUCAUACAUAUGCAUCAUAAAUCAAUUCUUACCUGUGCGUCCACCGCACCAAUUCAUACAUAUGCAUCAUAAAUCAAUUCUUACCUGUGCGUCCACCGCACCAAUUCAUACAUAUGCAUCAUAAAUCAAUUCUUACAUGUGCGUCCACCGCACCAAUUCAUACAUAUGCAUCAUAUAUUAAUUCAUGCAUGGCAUUUCAACUCACAUUUCUAUAUACUUUUCAUAUCAAUUCUAUGCAUGGUAUUUCACUUCCCGUUUUUCCACAUAACUCAUAUGCAUUUCAUUUUAAACAUAUUUUCAUUUCAAUUCAAUUUCUGGGAAACGUCAAGUAUAUAUAUAUACGGAAAACAAAACUGCCCACUCACCUGGAGUUCGUCCAACAACUCCCUAGCACCACACAUCAAGGCGUCAUGACGAUCGCCGCCUAGAAUAGUAAUCAAAUCCAGGCUCAGAAUUCAUAUCGAUAGAAUAACAUAACUUAUAUAAAAUACGUCACUACGUUGAUCGAUCCGGAAGAUCUGCCACUCAGAUUUUAAAAUCCAUAACUUCCAGAGGUCCACACUAUACCUCUAGGACAACAUCCUAAAAUUUCAUUACCAUCCAACGGUCGGAUCUCCGUCAAUUUCCAAAACUAAGUGACGGUUAACAUUUUAUAUUAUGGACUUACAAUUCCAAUUCCGGAAGAUCCGUAACUCGGAUUCCCAAUCCGUAAGUUCCAAUAAUCCUCAAAUAUUACGUAUUACAACGUAUCAAAUUUUGGUGACGAUCCAACGGUCGGAUCAUCAAUUCACAUUUUCACCUAAAUGUGAAAACUAUAAAACGUUAUUUGAACACCUAACCAACAAUCCUCAAUAACUUUCUCAUACGGUGUUCAAUUUAGGUAUAUGAAUAUACCACAGUGAUCUAAUCGACGUCACGGACGUCGACAUAUUUUUAAAAUAAUUUUAUUUUUAUUUUUUAUUUUUACUGUAGCACCUUCUUCUUCCUUGGGUCGCCGGACUGGUUUUUUCCGGCGGCCGUUUUUCCGGGCAGUUUUUCAAAUUGCCAUAACUUUGUCAUUUCUCAACGAAAUCAAGUGAUUCAAAAACGAAAGUUGUAGCCCUUGAAGAGACAAAGAGAAUGGUACCUUGAAAAACACCUAGUUCGCCGUGGUUUGGCCGGAAACUGCCUCGAAAGCCUCGGAGGUCGCCGGAAACUGGGUAUUUUUCAAAUGAGUAUAACUUCUUCAAUACUCAACGAAAUUGAGUGAAACAAAAAGGAAAGUUGUAUUACUUGACGAGACGAAGAGAUUGAUACCUACCUCGACUCCUAAAUCGCCGGGGAUUCGCCGGAAAACGCCUCGAAAGCUCCGGCCAAACUUUGAACUUGUCGAUCUCCGUGUUCUUACGUCCAAAAACUUCCAACGAAGCACUCUGAGCUUCCUUGGGACCUUACUAAACUCGCUGUGAUCUUGUUUUAGCCUAAAACGUAACCAAUUCAAAGCUCAUGAACAGUGUCAUCUCACGGCAACUUUAGAACUAGGGUUUUCGAAGUGAAACUCACCUGAAAUUGGUAUCCCCGUGCUCGUGAAGUCCCCAGGAUCACGAUGGUGGUCUUAAAUGGAACGUUGGUACAAGAUUGUGGUGGUUCUUGGUGGUUGCCGUGAGUUCGAGAGUAAGAGAGAGAAUGAGAGAGUUUUCAGAAAAGAAUAAGAGAGAGAGUGAAAAUCUGAAAUGGAAGAAGAAGAGAGAGAAGGAAAGGUUACGGAAAAUGGGGAGGAAAUUAGGGUAUAGGACCCUACCUAAAGUCCAACACAACAAUAGCUUAGAAAUUUUAGGUAAAACAAACACCAAAAUUACGCACCUUAAUCCCGUUUAAGGGCGUUUUUGUAAUUUCACGUCCUCGGAAUUAAAAAUUCCGGGACGGGCUGUGACAAU
Molecule: long non-coding RNA, 25018 nt
Filed under: Malus domestica (apple)
Lineage: Eukaryota; Viridiplantae; Streptophyta; Magnoliopsida; Rosales; Rosaceae
Description: long non-coding RNA (MDOM_LNC017184)
Rfam family: MIR3627 microRNA precursor family (bases 18937-19023)
Source: RNAcentral